Xenopus laevis (African clawed frog) is the source of this 244-nucleotide long non-coding RNA. RefSeq lists it as uncharacterized. Lineage: Eukaryota; Metazoa; Chordata; Amphibia; Anura; Pipidae. The transcript is spliced from 3 exons. The record is from RefSeq and is a predicted model, not a curated record.
CAUUGUUUGGUUUCCUAGUACUGCGGCAGCGCCCCUAACUAGGCAUCGCAAGCGUAACUUCUCAACUGCUCGGAAGCGUUCGGAACCCGGGACGCAACUUCGGAUUAUGGUGAAUUUGUGUUGUCAUGGCGAAUCUUCGCCUGGCGAAGUGUUGCAAUGUCAGCGAAGCUGGCGCAUUUUCGGCACUGGCCAUAGAUGUUGAUCCUCAUUGUGAGACCACGAUUUUCUCGGAACGAUCGUACGA